UGCGGUUAUACAAAAAUUAAAUUAAAUUUUUUUAGGAUUUAAUAAGUAAAUAUUAAUUUAAUAAUUUAAAUUUUAAAUUAUAAGGUGAAAUUUUAAUUUAAUUAAAAUUUAUUUAUUUUUAUUACAUUAAUAAAUUUUAUAAAAAACUAGGAUUAGAUACCCUAUUAUAAAAAUUUAAAUUUAAUAAUCUUAAAAUAGUAUAUAUUUUUAUAGAAACUUAAAUAAUUUGGCGGUAUUUUAGUUCAUUUAGAGGAAUCUGUCUAAUAAUUGAUAAUCCACGAUUAAAUUUACUUAAUUUUCAAUUUUGUAUAUCGUUGUUAAAAAAAUAUUUUUAAAUAAUUAUAAUAUUUUAAAAUUUGAAUAAAAAAUUAAAUCAGAUCAAGAUGCAGAUUAUAAUUAAGAAUAUGAUGGAUUACAAUAAAUUUUAUUUUUGGAUAUUAAUUUGAAAAAAUUAAUUAAAAUUGGAUUUAAAUGUAAUUUUAUUAAUUUUAUUAAAAUGAUUUAAAAUUAAAAUAUGUACAUAUUGCCCGUCGCUUUCAUUUAUAAAUUGAAAUAAGUCGUAACAAAGUAGAGGUACUGGAAAGUGUUUCUAGAAAGAU
This 599-nucleotide ribosomal RNA is filed under the name Zygaena ecki ecki. Its description in RNAcentral is "partial 12S ribosomal RNA". Lineage: Eukaryota; Metazoa; Arthropoda; Insecta; Lepidoptera; Zygaenidae. The record is from RNAcentral.